GGGAAACUGGGCUAAUACCGCAUAUGUCCUGAGGGACAAAGCAGUAUGCGCCUUUGGAGCAGCCUGCGUCCGAUUAGGUAGUUGGUGGGGUAAUGGCUACCAAGCCUGCGAUCGGUAGCUGGUCUGAGAGGACGAUCAGCCACACUGGGACUGAGACACGGCCCAGACUCCUACGGGAGGCAGCAGUGGGGAAUAUUGGACAAUGGGCGAAAGCCUGAUCCAGCAAUGCCGCGUGAGUGAUGAAGGCCUUAGGGUUGUAAAGCUCUUUUACCCGAGAUGAUAAUGACAGUAUCGGGAGAAUAAGCUCCGGCUAACUCCGUG
Molecule: ribosomal RNA, 321 nt
Filed under: uncultured bacterium
Lineage: Bacteria
Description: bacterial SSU rRNA
Rfam family: Bacterial small subunit ribosomal RNA
Source: RNAcentral